AGUGAACGCUGGCGGCGUGCUUAACACAUGCAAGUCGAACGAGAACGGGCUAUAGCUUGCUAUAGUUGUCAGCUAAGUGGCGCACGGGUGAGUAAUGUAUAGGUAAUAUGCCUCUUACUAAGGGAUAACAAAUGGAAACGUUUGCUAAUACCUUAUACUCCUUAUUAACAGAAGUUAAUAAGGGAAAGAUUUAUUGGUAAGAGAUUAGCCUGUAUUGUAUCAGUUAGUUGGUGGGGUAAUGGCUUACCAAGACUAUGACACAUAACUGGUUUGAGAGGAUGAGCAGUCGCACUGGAAAUGAGACACGGUCCAGACUCCUACGGGAGGCAGCAGUGGGGAAUAUUGCACAAUGGACGAAAGUCUGAUGCAGCAACGCCGCGUGGAGGAUGACACAUUUCGGUGCGUAAACUCCUUUUAUAUGAGAAGAUAAUGACGGUACUAUAUGAAUAAGCACCGGCUAACUCCGUGCCAGCCGCCGCGGUAA
RNAcentral lists this ribosomal RNA (484 nucleotides) under uncultured bacterium. RNAcentral's name for it is "partial 16S ribosomal RNA". It matches the Rfam family "Bacterial small subunit ribosomal RNA", at positions 29 to 523 of the family's 1533-position model. The record is from RNAcentral.